GGAGGCUUGCUCCUGGAUUCAGCGGCGGUACUAGAAUGAGUAAUGCCUAGGAAUCUGCCUGGUAGUGGGGGAUAACGUCCGGAAACGGGCGCUAAUACCGCAUACGUCCUGAGGGAGAAAGUGGGGGAUCUUCGGACCUCACGCUAUCAGAUGAGCCUAGGUCGGAUUAGCUAGUUGGUGGGGUAAAGGCCUACCAAGGCGACGAUCCAUAACUGGUCUGAGAGGAUGAUCAGUCACACUGGAACUGAGACACGGUCCAGACUCCUACGGGAGGCAGCAGUGGGGAAUAUUGGACAAUGGGCGAAAGCCUGAUCCAGCCAUGCCGCGUGUGUGAAGAAGGUCUUCGGAUUGUAAAGCACUUUAAGUUGGGAGGAAGGGCAGUAAGUUAAUACCUUGCUGUUUUGACGUUACCAACAGAAUAAGCACCGGCUAACUUCGUGCCAGCAGCCGCGGUAAUACGAAGGGUGCAAGCGUUAAUCGGAAUUACUGGGCGUAAAGCGCGCGUACGUGGUUCAGCAAGUUGGAUGUGAAAUCACCCGGGCUCAACCUGGGAACUGCAUCCAAAACUACUGAGCUAGAGUACGGCUAGAGGGUGGUGGAAUUUCCUGUGUAGCGGUGAAAUGCAUAGAUAUAGGAAGGAACACCAGUGGCGAAUGCGACCACCUGGACUGAUUAUGACACUGAGGUGCGAAAGCGUGGGGGAGCAAACAGGAUUAGAUACCCUGGGUAGUUCACGCCGUAAACGAUGUCG
Molecule: ribosomal RNA, 751 nt
Filed under: Pseudomonas aeruginosa
Lineage: Bacteria; Pseudomonadati; Pseudomonadota; Gammaproteobacteria; Pseudomonadales; Pseudomonadaceae
Description: bacterial SSU rRNA
Rfam family: Bacterial small subunit ribosomal RNA
Source: RNAcentral